This is a non-coding RNA of Acanthosepion pharaonis, 93 nucleotides long. NCBI's taxonomy places the organism in Eukaryota, Metazoa, Mollusca, Cephalopoda, Sepiida, Sepiidae. The record is from the annotation of a GenBank genome assembly.
GUGAAACACCGGUUCUCGCCCGAUCGCUGAAGUUAAGCAAAGCUGAGCCUGAACAGUACGUAGUUCGGUAACCGCUUGGGAAUACCAGGUACU